UAGGGAAUUUUGCGCAAUGGGCGAAAGCCUGACGCAGCAACGCCGCGUGAGCGAUGAAGCCCUUUGGGGUGUAAAGCUCUGUCAGUGGGGACGAAUUUUGACGGUACCCACAGAGGAAGCAUCGGCUAACUACGUGCCAGCAGCCGCGGUAAGACGUAGGAUGCAAGCGUUGUCCGGAAUUAUUGGGCGUAAAGAGUUCGUAGGUGGUAUGUUAAGUCUGGUGUUAAAUCCCGAAGCUCAACUUCGGAUCAGCACUGGAUACUGACAAACUAGAGUGCAGUAGAGGCAAGGGGAAUUCCUAGUGUAGCGGUGAAAUGCGUAGAUAUUAGGAGGAACACCGGUGGCGUAAGCGCCUUGCUGGGCUGUAACUGACGCUGAGGAACGAAAGCCAGGGGAGCAAAUG
RNAcentral lists this ribosomal RNA (403 nucleotides) under uncultured bacterium. RNAcentral describes it as "partial 16S ribosomal RNA". It matches the Rfam family "Bacterial small subunit ribosomal RNA", at positions 355 to 774 of the family's 1533-position model. The record is from RNAcentral.